UACGGAGGGGGCUAGCGUUGUUCGGAAUUACUGGGCGUAAAGCGCACGUAGGCGGUUUUGUAAGUCAGAGGUGAAAGCCCGGGGCUCAACCCCGGAAUUGCCUUUGAGACUGCAUCACUUGAUCGUCGGAGAGGUGAGUGGAAUUCCGAGUGUAGAGGUGAAAUUCGUAGAUAUUCGCAAGAACACCAGUGGCGAAGGCGGCUCACUGGCCCGAUACUGACGCUGAGGCACGAAAGCGUGGGGAGCAAACAGG
RNAcentral lists this ribosomal RNA (253 nucleotides) under uncultured bacterium. RNAcentral describes it as "partial 16S ribosomal RNA". It matches the Rfam family "Bacterial small subunit ribosomal RNA", at positions 524 to 776 of the family's 1533-position model. The record is from RNAcentral.